UCUUGCGCAAUGGGCGAAAGCCUGACGCAGCAACGCCGCGUGCGGGAUGAAGGCUUCCCGCCCCGCAAACUGCUUUUGUUAGUGAAGAAUUUGACGGUAACUAACGAAUAAGGAUCGGCUAACUCCGUGCCAGCAGCCGCGGUCAUACGGAGGAUCCAAGCGUUAUCCGGAGUGACUGGGCGUAAAGAGUUGCGUAGGUGGUUAUAUAAGUGAAUAGUGAAACCUGGUGGCUCACCCAUCCAGCCCCCCUAUUCAAACUGUAUAACUCGAGAAUGGUAGAGGUAGCUGGAAUUUCUAGUGUAGGAGUGAAAUCCGUAGAUAUUAGAAGGAACACCAAUGGCGUAGGCAGGCUACGGACCUUUCUACAUAAGGCAGAG
Molecule: ribosomal RNA, 377 nt
Filed under: uncultured bacterium
Lineage: Bacteria
Description: bacterial SSU rRNA
Rfam family: Bacterial small subunit ribosomal RNA
Source: RNAcentral